RNAcentral lists this ribosomal RNA (500 nucleotides) under uncultured bacterium. RNAcentral's name for it is "partial 16S ribosomal RNA". It matches the Rfam family "Bacterial small subunit ribosomal RNA", at positions 30 to 523 of the family's 1533-position model. The record is from RNAcentral.
AUUGAACGCUGGCGGCAUGCCUUACACAUGCAAGUCGAACGGCAGCACGGGAGCAAUCCUGGUGGCGAGUGGCGAACGGGUGAGUAAUAUAUCGGAACGUGCCCAGUCGUGGGGGAUAACGUAGCGAAAGCUACGCUAAUACCGCAUACGAUCUAUGGAUGAAAGCGGGGGAUCGCAAGACCUCGCGCGAUUGGAGCGGCCGAUAUCAGAUUAGGUAGUGGGUGAGGUAAAGGCCCACCAAGCCGACGAUCUGUAGCUGGUCUGAGAGGACGACCAGCCAUACUGGCACUGAGACACGGCCCAGACUCCUACGGGAGGCAGCAGUGGGGAAUUUUGGACAAUGGGCGCAAGCCUGAUCCAGCAAUGCCGCGUGCAGGAUGAAGGCCUUCGGGUUGUAAACUGCUUUUGUACGGAACGAAACGGCGAGCUCUAAUACAGUUUGCUAAUGACGGUACCGUAAGAAUAAGCACCGGCUAACUACGUGCCAGCCGCCGCCGUAA